UCGACCAGACAAGAGCAGGGGGCGACCAAGUUCAUCAAAACCCUAGUUCAGCAUAAAAUCUCUAAAUUGAAGGAUCAAACUCAGUCCAAAUCAAAAUCCGAACAUAGAUUAGUGAUCCUCAUCACAAGGGGGUUACAAGGCAAAGAAUCCGGAUCGUCAAGCGGACAAGCCGGAGCGGAUACGCGUUUGAAGGGUGUGCUCUAAAGGUAACAAGAUGGAUCUUACGGAUGGCGAUCAAGCACAUGAUGAAGAACCGAACACUACAUUUUGAAGCUUCCGCAAUGUUUUAAAUCUUUAGUAGUAUUAUGUAUGGGUUGUAAACAUUAUUAAACUACUUUUGAAAUGUUUUAACUUAGCCACUAGUUGACUAAGGUUGAUGUACUUAUGAGUUCCGUUAACGAAUACUUUGUCACUUAAUCAAUAUUUUGGAUAA
Long non-coding RNA from Helianthus annuus (common sunflower), 433 nucleotides. RefSeq lists it as uncharacterized. Lineage: Eukaryota; Viridiplantae; Streptophyta; Magnoliopsida; Asterales; Asteraceae. The transcript has 3 exons. The record is from RefSeq and is a predicted model, not a curated record.